Molecule: ribosomal RNA, 253 nt
Filed under: uncultured bacterium
Lineage: Bacteria
Description: partial 16S ribosomal RNA
Rfam family: Bacterial small subunit ribosomal RNA
Source: RNAcentral
UACGUAGGGUGCGAGCGUUGUCCGGAAUUAUUGGGCGUAAAGAGCUUGUAGGCGGUUUGUCGCGUCUGCCGUGAAAGCCCAGGGCUUAACCCUGGGUCUGCGGUGGGUACGGGCAGACUAGAGUGUGGUAGGGGAGACUGGAAUUCCUGGUGUAGCGGUGAAAUGCGUAGAGAUCCGGAGGAACACCAAAGGCGAAGGCAGUGUCCUGGGGAGUACCUGACGCUCAGGUGCGAAAGCCAGGGGAGCGAACGGG